AACGCACAUUGCGCCCUUUGGCAUUCCGAAGGGCAUGCCUGUUCGAGCGUCAUUAUCCUCUCUCAAACCUCGCGUUUGGUGUUGGACCGCGUUGGACCGCUCGCGGCCAACUGGUCUCAAAGACAAUGACGGCGUCCGUGGGACCCUCUUCGCAUCGAGCUUUUCGAAGCACGCGUCGAGUUUCAAGGCCCCAGGGACCCGGUCGAGCCUCCUUUAUUUUAUCAGGUUGACCUCGGAUCAGGUAGGAAUACCCGCUGAACUUAA
RNAcentral lists this unclassified non-coding RNA (264 nucleotides) under uncultured Trichomeriaceae. Its description in RNAcentral is "sequence contains ITS2". Lineage: Eukaryota; Fungi; Ascomycota; Eurotiomycetes; Chaetothyriales. The record is from RNAcentral.